CCUGCCCCUAAGUCUGGGAUACCAUUUGGAAACAGGUGCUAAUACCGGAUAAUAAAGCAGAUCGCAUGAUCAGCUUUUGAAAGGCGGCGUAAGCUGUCGCUAAGGGAUGGUCCCGCGGUGCAUUAGCUAGUUGGUAAGGUAACGGCUUACCAAGGCGACGAUGCAUAGCCGAGUUGAGAGACUGAUCGGCCACAUUGGGACUGAGACACGGCCCAAACUCCUACGGGAGGCAGCAGUAGGGAAUCUUCCACAAUGGACGCAAGUCUGAUGGAGCAACGCCGCGUGAGUGAAGAAGGUUUUCGGAUCGUAAAGCUCUGUUGUUGGUGAAGAAGGAUAGAGGUAGUAACUGGCCUUUAUUUGACGGUAAUCAACCAGAAAGUCACGGCUAACUACGUGCCAGCAGCCGCGGUAAUACGUAGGUGGCAAGCGUUGUCCGGAUUUAUUGGGCGUAAAGCGAGCGCAGGCGGAAAAAUAAGUCUAAUGUGAAAGCCCUCGGCUUAACCGAGGAACUGCAUCGGAAAACUGUUUUUCUUGAGUGCAGAAGAGGAGAGUGGAACUCCAUGUGUAGCGGUGGAAUGCGUAGAUAUAUGGAAAGAACACCAGUGGCGAAGGCGGCUCUCUGGGUCUGCAACUGACGCUGAAGGCUCGAAAGCAUGGGUAGCGAACAGGAAUUAGAUACCCUGGGUAGUCCAUGCCGGUAAACGAUG
RNAcentral lists this ribosomal RNA (707 nucleotides) under uncultured bacterium. RNAcentral describes it as "bacterial SSU rRNA". It matches the Rfam family "Bacterial small subunit ribosomal RNA", at positions 125 to 811 of the family's 1533-position model. The record is from RNAcentral.